RNAcentral lists this ribosomal RNA (492 nucleotides) under uncultured bacterium. Its description in RNAcentral is "partial 16S ribosomal RNA". It matches the Rfam family "Bacterial small subunit ribosomal RNA", at positions 29 to 507 of the family's 1533-position model. The record is from RNAcentral.
AGUGAACGCUGGCGGUAGGCCUAACACAUGCAAGUCGAACGGCAGCACAGUAAGAGCUUGCUCUUACGGGUGGCGAGUGGCGGACGGGUGAGGAAUACAUCGGAAUCUACUUUUUCGUGGGGGAUAACGUUGGGAAACUUACGCUAAUACCGCAUACGACCUACGGGUGAAAUCAGGGGAUCUUCGGACCUUGCGCGAUUGAAUGAGCCGAUGUCGGAUUAGCUAGUUGGCGGGGUAAAGGCCCACCAAGGCGACGAUCCGUAGCUGGUCUGAGAGGAUGAUCAGCCACACUGGAACUGAGACACGGUCCAGACUCCUACGGGAGGCAGCAGUGGGGAAUAUUGGACAAUGGGCGCAAGCCUGAUCCAGCCAUACCGCGUGGGUGAAGAAGGCCUUCGGGUUGUAAAGCCCUUUUGUUGGGAAAGAAAAGCAGCAGGUUAAUACCCCGCUGUUCUGACGGUACCCAAAGAAUAAGCACCGGCUAACUUCGUG